GUUUAAAAAAUGUGUCCGGUGACCCGGCCAACCAUCCAAGAUGGCCGCCAUGGCUAAAAAUAGAACAUAGGGGUAAAAUGCAGUUUUUGGCUUAUAACUCAAAAACCAAAGCAUUUAGAGCAAAUCUGACAUGGGGUAGAAUUGUUCAACAGGUGAAGAUCUAUCUGCCCUGAAAUUUUCAGAUGAAUCGGAUAACCCGUUGUUGGGUUGCUGCCCCUGAAUUAGUAAUUUUAAGGAAAUUUUGCUGUUUUUGGUUAUUAUCUUGAAUAUUAUUAUAGAUAGAGAUAAACAGUAAACAGCAAUAAUGUUCAGCAAAGUAAGAUUAACAAAUAAGUCAACAUGACUGAAAUGGUCAGUUGACCCCUUUAGGAGUUAUUGCCCUUUAUAGUCAAUUUUUAACCAUUUUUUGUAAAUCUUAGUAAUCUUUUACAAAAAUCUUCUUCUCUGAAACUACUGGGCCAAAUUUAACCAAACUUGGCCAUAAUCAUCAUUGGGGUAUCUAGUUUAAUAAAUGUGUCCGGUGACCCAGCCAACCAACCAAGAUGGCCGCUCUGGCUAAAAAUAGAACAUAGGGGUAAAAUGCAGUUUUUGGCUUAUAACUCAAAAAUCAAAGCAUUUAGAGCAAAUCUGUAAGGGUAAAAUUGUUCAUUAGGUCAAGAUCUAUCUGCCCUGAAAUUUUCAGAUGAAUCGGACAUUCUGUUGUUGGGUUACUGACCCUGAAAUGGUAAUUUUAAGGAAAUUUUGCUGUUUUUGGUUAUUAUCUUGAAUAUUAUUAUAGAUAGAGAUAAACUGUAAACAGCAAUAAUGUUCAGCAAUGUAAGAUCUACAAAUAAGUCAACAUGACCAAAAUGGUCAGUUGACCACUUGAGGAGUUAUUGCCCUUUAUAGUCAAUUUUUAACCAUUUUUCGUAAAUCUUAAUUAUCUUUUAGAAAAAUCUUCUCCUCUGAAACUACUGGGCCAAAUUUAACCAAACUUAGCCAUAAUCAUCAUUGGGGUAUUUAGUUAAAAAAAUGUGUCCGGUAACUCGGCCAACAAACCAAGAUGGCAACCAUGGCUAAAAAUAGAACAUGGGGGUAAAAUGCAGUUUUUGGCUUAUAACUCAAAAACCAAAGCAUUAAGAGCAAAUCUGACAGGGAGUAAAAUUGUUGAUCAGGUCAUGAUCUAUCUGCCCUGGAAUUUUCAGAUGAAUCGGAUAAUCGGUUGUUAGGUUGCUGCCCCUGAAUUGGUAAUUAUGAGGAAAUUUUGCUGGUUUUUU
RNAcentral lists this long non-coding RNA (1256 nucleotides) under Mytilus galloprovincialis (Mediterranean mussel). Lineage: Eukaryota; Metazoa; Mollusca; Bivalvia; Mytilida; Mytilidae. The record is from RNAcentral.